GACGAACGCUGGCGGCGUGCUUAACACAUGCAAGUCGAGCGGUAAGGCCCUUUCGGGGGUACACGAGCGGCGAACGGGUGAGUAACACGUGGGUGACCUGCCCUCAGCUCUGGGAUAAGCCUGGGAAACUGGGUCUAAUACUGGAUAUGACUCCACGGUGCAUGUCGUGGGGUGGAAAGCCUUGUGCGGCUGAGGAUGGGCCCGCGGCCUAUCAGCUUGUUGGUGGGGUGAUGGCCUACCAAGGCGACGACGGGUAGCCGGCCUGAGAGGGCGACCGGCCACACUGGGACUGAGACACGGCCCAGACUCCUACGGGAGGCAGCAGUGGGGAAUAUUGCGCAAUGGACGAAAGUCUGACGCAGCAACGCCGCGUGAGGGAUGACGGCCU
RNAcentral lists this ribosomal RNA (388 nucleotides) under uncultured bacterium. RNAcentral describes it as "bacterial SSU rRNA". It matches the Rfam family "Bacterial small subunit ribosomal RNA", at positions 28 to 417 of the family's 1533-position model. The record is from RNAcentral.